RNAcentral lists this ribosomal RNA (602 nucleotides) under Gammarus lacustris. RNAcentral's name for it is "partial 16S ribosomal RNA". The record is from RNAcentral. Lineage: Eukaryota; Metazoa; Arthropoda; Malacostraca; Amphipoda; Gammaridae.
AGAUAAGUCGAAACAAAGUAGAAAAACCUGAAGGUUUUUCUAAAGGCGGUUAGAAUUUUCACUUACAAUGAAAAAUACCCUUUAGGGCGCUUUUAUAUUGGUAAAUAUUUAAUAAAGAGUAAGAAACUUUAGUGGGUAUACCUUUUGUAUCAGGGGAAGUUAAAAGUGUAAGUAAUAAAGGAUCGAUUUAAGCAGAGCUUAAUACAAAAUAGUUAUAGUUAAAUUUAUAGCUUUAAUAGAUUAUGUGGUGAAAAAUGUACGGUGCUUAUGGUAGCUAUUUGUUUUUUUAUUGAAGGGUAAGCUUUCAUUGACUUAAUUGUGUAAAAGGUAUAGGGAAUUAGGCUUUGGAUUAGCCAGAUUACUAAAUUGUUUUAAAUAACCUAAUAGUGUAAGAUAAAUCUUAAGGUUAAAAGACUCGGCCUAUUAAUUUGGAUAGGUCUGAAUAAUGAGUUUAUUGAAUAUAGGAUGAAAUACUUAAAUAACUCAAAGUAAGUUAGAAUGUUUAGCAAAAACAUUUUCUUUUGGUGUAAGUAAGAUAAGACCUGCCCGGUGAUUUUUAACGGCUGCGGUAUUUUGACUGUGCUAAGGUAGCAUAAUCAUUU